AACAUGACAGCAUUUGUGACAUCACAAAGAUUCUGGCACAAACAAGUUGUUAUAAAAUCAUCACUUUUUGGUGAUUAUGAUGUAUUAUAUGUGCAAUAUCCAGGUCUUCCUCCCUCUCCACCUUCAGCAGCUUCAGACAUUGAUACCAUAAGUAGCCAACCAUAUCCUGGUGAUAAUAACGGAAGGACCAUACAGCCUCUUGGAGUUGAUGUGAGGGGGCAACAGCACAAAAGUGGGCCAAGUCGGAGUGUCA
RNAcentral lists this unclassified non-coding RNA (253 nucleotides) under Hevea brasiliensis (rubber tree). The record is from RNAcentral. Lineage: Eukaryota; Viridiplantae; Streptophyta; Magnoliopsida; Malpighiales; Euphorbiaceae.